Molecule: ribosomal RNA, 285 nt
Filed under: uncultured bacterium
Lineage: Bacteria
Description: partial 16S ribosomal RNA
Rfam family: Bacterial small subunit ribosomal RNA
Source: RNAcentral
UUAAACCGCCCUCGGGCGGACAUAGAGUGGCGAACGGGUGAGUAACACGUGACCAACCUGCCCCGCGCUCCGGGACAACCGCUGGAAACGGCGGCUAAUACCGGAUACUCCGGGAGGGCCCCAUGGCCCUGCCGGGAAAGCCGAGACGGCGCGGGAUGGGGUCGCGGCCCAUUAGGUAGACGGCGGGGUAACGGCCCACCGUGCCCGCGAUGGGUAGCCGGACUGAGAGGUCGACCGGCCACAUUGGGACUGAGAUACGGCCCAGACUCCUACGGGAGGCAGCAG